CCAAUAGCGUAUAUUAAAGUUGUUGCAGUUAAAAAGCUCGUAGUUGAAUUUCGGGGUUAGUAGGUUGGUCAUGCCUCUGGUAUGUACUGGUCUCACUGAUUCCUCCUUCCUUAUGAACCGUAAUGCCAUUAAUUUGGUGUUGCGGGGAAUUUGGACUGUUACUUUUAAAAAAUUAGAGUGUUUAAAGCAAGCUAACGCUUGAAUACAUUAGCAUGGAAUAAUGAAAUAGGACGUUCGAUCCUAUUUUGUUGGUUUCUAGGAUUGACGUAAUGAUUAAUAGGGAUAGUUGGGGGCAUUAGUAUUCAAUUGUCAGAGGUGAAAUUCUUGGAUUUAUUGAAGACUAACUACUGCGAAAGCAUUUGCCAAGGAUGUUUUCAUUAAUCAAGAACGAAAGUUAGGGGAUCGAAGACGAUCAGAUACCGUCGUAGUCUUAACCAUAAACUAUGCCGACUAGGGAUCGGAUGAUGUUAAUUUUUUAAUGACUCAUUCGGCGCCUUACG
This 500-nucleotide ribosomal RNA is filed under the name uncultured Glomeromycotina. Its description in RNAcentral is "partial small subunit ribosomal RNA". It matches the Rfam family "Eukaryotic small subunit ribosomal RNA", at positions 591 to 1092 of the family's 1831-position model. The record is from RNAcentral. Lineage: Eukaryota; Fungi; Glomeromycota.